This 430-nucleotide ribosomal RNA is filed under the name Holopedium gibberum. Its description in RNAcentral is "bacterial SSU rRNA". It matches the Rfam family "Eukaryotic small subunit ribosomal RNA", at positions 533 to 874 of the family's 1831-position model. Lineage: Eukaryota; Metazoa; Arthropoda; Branchiopoda; Diplostraca; Holopediidae. The record is from RNAcentral.
UUUAACGAGGAACCAUUGGAGGGCAAGUCUGGUGCCAGCAGCCGCGGUAACUCCAGCUCCAAUAGCGUAUAUUAAAGUUGUUGCGGUUAAAAAGCUCGUAGUUGGAUUCCUGUCUUCGGCCGGGCGGGUGAAAAGUUGAUAAAACUGAUCACUUGUCUUUGAUUCGGCGGUGUCAAAGCCGCCGAGUCUUUAACGGUCGGACAAUACCGUCGGUGAGUGCCGGCUUGCGGCUUCGGCCGCGAUCGACACUCGUAAUCGACCGGGGUGCUCUUCAUCGGGUGUCCCGGCCGACCGACAUUUUUUUACUUUGAACAAAUUAGAGUGCUCAAAGCAGGUGCACACAUCGCCUGAAUAUCACAGCAUGGAAUGAUAGAAUAGGACCUCGGUCUUAUUUUGUUGGUUUUCUCUAGACCCGAGGUAAUGGUUAAUA